Molecule: ribosomal RNA, 464 nt
Filed under: uncultured bacterium
Lineage: Bacteria
Description: partial 16S ribosomal RNA
Rfam family: Bacterial small subunit ribosomal RNA
Source: RNAcentral
CUACGGGAGGCAGCAGUGGGGAAUAUUGCACAAUGGGCGCAAGCCUGAUGCAGCCAUGCCGCGUGUAUGAAGAAGGCCUUCGGGUUGUAAAGUACUUUCAGCGGGGAGGAAGGGAGUAAAGUUAAUACCUUUGCUCAUUGACGUUACCCGCAGAAGAAGCACCGGCUAACUCCGUGCCAGCAGCCGCGGUAAUACGGAGGGUGCAAGCGUUAAUCGGAAUUACUGGGCGUAAAGCGCACGCAGGCGGUUUGUUAAGUCAGAUGUGAAAUCCCCGGGCUCAACCGGGGAACUGCAUUUGAUACUGGCAAGCUUGAGUCUCGUAGAGGGGGGUAGAAUUCCAGGUGUAGCGGUGAAAUGCGUAGAGAUCUGGAGGAAUACCGGUGGCGAAGGCGGCCCCCUGGACGAAGACUGACGCUCAGGUGCGAAAGCGUGGGGAGCAAACAGGAUUAGAUACCCCAGUAGUC